CCUGAAAAGAAAGCAAUAAAGAAACCUUUUCAGUGGCUUUGAAUGAGCGAGAGAAGGAGGAAUGAAUCCCUUUGGGACGUUGCGCUCAGAGAAGCCUUUUUUUAUUGUCUUUACGCUGGUAAUCAAAUGGAGCUGAAAUGAAAAUGGAGUUUUCUAUGAAAAUAGGGCCCUUUGUUGCCUUUGGACGGCUAGUAAUUCAUAAACAAUAAGCCGGCCUCUUUUGUUUGGGUUAUAAUAUAUUCCUGCUGCUCUGAAAGAGGUCUCUCUCAGCGCACACUUGCACACACUUGCACACACACACACACACGCACACACACACACACUGGAACCAGGGUAAAAGCCAAAGCGAGGCAGCAGGGGAAGAGAUAAUAUAAAAGGAGGCAGGGAGGAAGGUUUUCCAUUCAUCCUGCUGGCAGAGUGACGGCAGGAUGCUCGAGUCCUCAACUCUCCAUCUUCACCUCUCCCUUUCCGCGAUGACUCACACCCUCGCACACCUCUUGGUCGUUUCGUCCCUGCAAAAGUCCGAAUUUAAGGUUGUCGUCUCAGUCGGUCGACAGGUGUGUAUGGAACCACUUUUAAAGGAAGAAGAUUUUGUGAAAUGAUCAACGCAUCUCUGGUUUUAGCGUUUUCUUUUCCUCAUGCCACUUUUUCUGAAUGUGUCGCUCGAUAUUGGAGGAUGACAAGAAAAAGAAGACGGACAGGAAGACAGAGAGGAAGACGAGACGUGAGUGGACAGAAAACCUGCAGCGCGAUGGGAGCACAUGAAACUCCCACUGAGCAAAAACAAGACUCUUUUUUUUCUUCUAACUUGAGUGAGGAAACACUUCAGCGUGGAGCAUCAUUUGUGUUCGUCAACCCAGAGAGGACAACGGCAAGGAUGUUCUGCACAGAAGGACUUUAUGGGACGAUUUACUUUAUACAUAUACAGUACGUAUUAGAUAUACUAAAUAAUUACGCCUGAUUGGGGUUGUUGUUGUUGGACCCCCGACUUACAACAGCGUCCCUUCCUGUCUGGAUCAAUCUGCUGUGUCUGCACGCAACCUUCCUCUGAACUCUGCACAUUUACAUGCAUGUGGAUAUUUACAUAAAUAUGGAUUUGGAUGGAGCCAACAUGGUGACGUGCAUCGCGUUGACCACAGGGACGCUACAAAACGGUCAGAGACGUCGUGUCUGGUUGAUGAAAAGUGCUGCAUGAAAGGCCUGGAGGGGACGAGGACUGGAGUGGAAGAAACAAACAUUUGACAUGGAGAUCUCCAACU
Gasterosteus aculeatus aculeatus (three-spined stickleback) is the source of this 1259-nucleotide non-coding RNA. NCBI's taxonomy places the organism in Eukaryota, Metazoa, Chordata, Actinopteri, Perciformes, Gasterosteidae. The record is from RefSeq and is a predicted model, not a curated record.